GCAUUGCUGGUUCAGUGGUAGAAUUGUUGCCUUCCAAGCAAUAGACCUGGGUUUGUUUCUGAGCCAAUGCA
Molecule: transfer RNA, 71 nt
Filed under: Loxodonta africana (African savanna elephant)
Lineage: Eukaryota; Metazoa; Chordata; Mammalia; Proboscidea; Elephantidae
Rfam family: tRNA
About the family: Transfer RNA (tRNA) molecules are approximately 80 nucleotides in length. Their secondary structure includes four short double-helical elements and three loops (D, anti-codon, and T loops).
Source: Rfam by way of RNAcentral